Hemiscyllium ocellatum (epaulette shark) is the source of this 1117-nucleotide long non-coding RNA. RefSeq lists it as uncharacterized. NCBI's taxonomy places the organism in Eukaryota, Metazoa, Chordata, Chondrichthyes, Orectolobiformes, Hemiscylliidae. The transcript has 3 exons. The record is from RefSeq and is a predicted model, not a curated record.
CGUGAUCAUCCGCUGCGCACGCAUCGGAGAACCACGUGACCUCCGAAAGCCGAGGUCAUGCCCACUCGGAAGUUUACCGCUGAAAAAUCUUCUCUCUUCUGCCAAGCAAAUAUUUGAAUGAUGAAGACAAUGUCAUAUUUCCUCAGUACAAAGCCAAGUGUGACCAGCUGCUUCUAACAAACAGCAGGUAUGUUACCCCUGUCAAAGCAGAGAACAUCCUUUCCUCAAGCACAGAGCCGAUUGGAUCAGGCUUAGUUUGACCUCAAUAUCCAGCGAUAUGUCCAAACAAACAAACCGUCAGACACAACUGCGAGCAAAUUUAAGGCCGAGACACCGAGCCACGAGGGCAAACAGUUUCAUGCCUAUUGGGCAUCUUUACAGAAAGCUGAAGACCCAUCAACAGAAGUACUUUGUGUUUGAGAAGGAGACCUUGAGUUUAUUGUUUUUGGAGAAAUUUAAGAACAAAAAUUACAGACUGUUUAGAUGAAGCUUACUAUCGCAGCCAUUCAAUUUGCAAAUUACGUACAUGGCAGGACGAGAGGACCUAGUUGCCAAAGUGUUGUUGCAACUUUGAUGAAAAAAGAUGGAAGUGUUACAUAGCAGGAAAAAGUGGACUGUGGUAGUGCGUGUUUGCAUGCUUAGAGUCAACGAAAUGUGUAUGUAUUGUUUACUAAUCGUGUAAGGCUAAGGAAUUUUUUAAAAAAUUAGACCAUCUCUGUAUAUUGAUUGGUUCUUUUUAAGAGGGGUGGAAGGUUGGAUGAUAUUGUGGCUUGAAGAUAUUUAUUUUGUUUUUUCUUUCUUGUUGAAGAGAGGUUUUAUGGCAGAAGUGUCAAGAAGUCUGCACUAGAGUAAACAGUUUGAGGCUCCUUUUAAAGUUGGAACAACAGAAGCAGCCUGACUGGGUGUGGUCAAGCUCUCACAGAAUGACAUUUUUAGUUUUGGCUUUCAGCAAAAUUGUCGGUGUCUUGAUGACAAGAAAGCUAGUUUUCUUCCUCUCAGUUACAGUCAGAAGCUGCAGAUUCUCUUUCUGCUACUGGAGUUGAAUGUGAGACUAUAUAUUUUAUUGAAUUUGUCUUUUGCCAAGGAUGUUUAUGGGAUAUUACUGUAUUGGAACAGU